This 492-nucleotide ribosomal RNA is filed under the name uncultured bacterium. RNAcentral describes it as "partial 16S ribosomal RNA". It matches the Rfam family "Bacterial small subunit ribosomal RNA", at positions 29 to 507 of the family's 1533-position model. The record is from RNAcentral.
AGUGAACGCUGGCGGUAGGCCUAACACAUGCAAGUCGAACGGCAGCACAGUAAGAGCUUGCUCUUACGGGUGGCGAGUGGCGGACGGGUGAGGAAUACAUCGGAAUCUACUUUUUCGUGGGGGAUAACGUAGGGAAACUUACGCUAAUACCGCAUACGACCUACGGGUGAAAGCAGGGGAUCUUCGGACCUUGCGCGAUUGAAUGAGCCGAUGUCGGAUUAGCUAGUUGGCGGGGUAAAGGCCCACCAAGGCGACGAUCCGUAGCUGGUCUGAGAGGAUGAUCAGCCACACUGGAACGGAGACACGGUCCAGACUCCUACGGGAGGCAGCAGUGGGGAAUAUUGGACAAUGGGCGCAAGCCUGAUGCAGCAAUACCGCGUGGGUGAAGAAGGCCUUCGGGUUGUAAAGCCCUUUUGUUGGGAAAGAAAAGCAGCAGGUUAGUACCUCGCUGUUCUGACGGUACCCAAAGAAUAAGCACCGGCUAACUUCGUG